GAUCGAUGGCUCAGGACGAACGCUGGCGGCGUGCUUAACACAUGCAAGUCGAACGAUGAAGCUGGAGCUUGCUCUAGUGGAUUAGUGGCGAACGGGUGAGUAACACGUGAGCAAUCUGCCCUUGACUCUGGGAUAACUGCGGGAAACUGUAGCUAAUACCGGAUACGACACCUUGGGGCAUCCGCGGGUUUGGAAAGUUUUUCGGUGAAGAUGAUCUCGCGGCCUAUCAGCUUGUUGGUGAGGUAAUGGCUCACCAAGGCGACGACGGGUAGCCGGCCUGAGAGGGCGACCGGCCACACUGGGACUGAGACACGGCCCAGACUCCUACGGGAGGCAGCAGUGGGGAAUAUUGGGCAAUGGAGGAAACUCUGACCCAGCGACGCCGCGUGCGGGAUGAAGGCCUUCGGGUUGUAAACCGCUUUCAGCAGGGAAGAAGCGAAAGUGACGGUACCUGCAGAAGAAGCACCGGCUAACUAUGUG
This 480-nucleotide ribosomal RNA is filed under the name uncultured bacterium. RNAcentral's name for it is "bacterial SSU rRNA". It matches the Rfam family "Bacterial small subunit ribosomal RNA", at positions 15 to 507 of the family's 1533-position model. The record is from RNAcentral.